UCUUGACGACUGGUCUGGAAGCUAAUGAGGAGUGCACUUGACCUUUGCUGACGCCGCAAUUAGAGAUUACCGGUGAAUGCUGGGGAAGCAGAGAAAGCUCUUUUUGGCUUCCUCUKCCCGGCGUGUUUGAAAAGCUUUCUUCCUGAUCUCUCACGGUGGAAAUGAGAGAAGGGCAGGCUCUACACCCUCCUGACCUCCUCCUCUCGCAAGGCAGCACGUUCAUUAUGGGAAAAAGAAGGGAGGGAAGUGGAGAGGGAG
RNAcentral lists this long non-coding RNA (258 nucleotides) under Dromaius novaehollandiae (emu). Its description in RNAcentral is "lncRNA (ENSDNVG00000009598.1)". Lineage: Eukaryota; Metazoa; Chordata; Aves; Casuariiformes; Dromaiidae. The record is from RNAcentral.